This 538-nucleotide small RNA is filed under the name Arabidopsis thaliana (thale cress). RNAcentral's name for it is "ATSL029620". The record is from RNAcentral. Lineage: Eukaryota; Viridiplantae; Streptophyta; Magnoliopsida; Brassicales; Brassicaceae.
UAUUAAUUUAAAAAUAUUAUCAGACGUAUGUCUUUCAUAAAAAACUCGAAAAGCAAUAAUUCUCUUUUGAAUAAUCCAAUCACUAUCAAGCCAUUGUUAGAUUAUGGGUGUGCCGAUGUUAGUGAAUAAUCCAAUCACUAUAAUCCAAUAAUUCUCUUUUGAACAUCUUCUAUGGGUGUGCCGAUGUUAGAUCGAAAUGAAUCGGAAGACAUUUUUAAGCAAAAUUAAUAAAAGUCAAAAAAUAUGAUGGAAAAAAAUCUCUUUAACGUUGGAUGAAGCAAGAAGAAUAAUCUUUAUUUUAGAAAUAUUUAGCAUAAUAUUUAUAGAAAAACUGACUACUAUAUUUAUGGAAAAAAUCUUUGAAAUUUUUUAAAUCAAACAAACAUUGAUGACUUGGUCAUAAACGGCUACAUUACAAAACUUGAUCAAGCUCAAGUCUUUGACGAUCUAAAAUUCUGCAGUUUUGCCACGUAGGAUUUGACUUGGUCAUAAAUUUUAAAGAUUGAAAUGAACUAACGGAUUGCCACAAAAAAUUUUA